Molecule: ribosomal RNA, 250 nt
Filed under: uncultured bacterium
Lineage: Bacteria
Description: partial 16S ribosomal RNA
Rfam family: Bacterial small subunit ribosomal RNA
Source: RNAcentral
UACAGAGGGUGCAAGCGUUAUCCGGAGUGACUGGGCGUAAAGGGCGUGCAGGCGGUCGGGCGAGUUCGCCGGGAAAGCCUCCGGCUCAACCGGGGGAGGUCGGGGGAGACUGCUCGACUGGAGGGCGGUAGAGGAGCAGGGAAUUCCGGGUGUAGUGGUGAAAUGCGUAGAGAUCCGGAGGAACACCAGUGGCGCAGGCGCUGCUCUGGGCCGCUCCUGACGCUGAGACGCGACAGCAUGGGGAGCGAAC